UCGGAUCAGACUACGAUGUUAAUUGUUUCUAUGAGGCCAUUCGAACUCCUUUUUAAACCAUAGUAUAAAUCGACCAUGAUUUUUUUUUAUUCGUAAUUAAUCUCACUGAUAUGUGAAAUGCUUCAAUAUACUUAUUGAAUUGAAAAUUAAUUAACUUAUCACAGAUACAGCUACGCGAAUGGCUUCAGAUAUAAAAAAAACUAUAGUCAGUACAUAUUAUAUUUGCCCAAGGAGUCCCUUUGAAAAAAUGUACCAAGUCACACUAAAAGGAGAGCUUGCCUUUAUACCAGCUUGCCUUUAUACCACUUGUAUUUUUAAAAUCGAUCAGCUGUACGUGUUAUAUAGUAAUAAAAUUAUAAAAUACGAAGUAGGAAGACAUACUCGUAAAAGGCUACUCAAAGAAUAAAGUAAAUUUUAGCGGUGAUGUACUGUAAAAAAAUAUAAUACAUAAAGAAAAAAUAUAACUAAGUUUCAUUUCACAAUAUAAUCAAUACAGUGUUAUGUAAAUUUACUAUUUUUAUAUGACUUUAACUAAAAAAAAUAACAGGUAUUUUUUUCUAAUUAAGGUCUUAAUAGAAAAAUGUAUGUUUUAAAUGAGACCUGUCGCUAAAAAAGUUUGAGAACUGAGGUACUACAGCCAUAUUUACUAGGCAAACCUAUUUGACAAGCAAUUAAAGAGACUAUUGUCUACUUUAGAAUCGGACCUGAGAUCGUCGAAGAGAAUCGACUCACUCCUGCAUCAACAUUACAUCAACCUUAUUAAGGAUACUGAAUUAUUGAUACAGACCUAGCAGACUUAAUGCGAACAAUAAGCCGACUUAAAAGCAAAGUUGUAGCAGGUAUAUCUCGCAUCUUGAGCUGAACCAAGGACCCAUUGACCUUUAAUAUAUUUCAUAAGAAACGGGAUACGCGAGUUGUCGCCAAAAAAAUGCACGAAACAAGAGGAUUCAAUAAUUUAUAUAUUCCAUUAACUUAAAAACUAAUAAUCUGGUAUUAAAUUUAUAUUGAUAAUACCUUCUUUGUGUAGGUAUAAUACAAUACAUCGUUGA
Long non-coding RNA from Galleria mellonella (greater wax moth), 1049 nucleotides. RefSeq lists it as uncharacterized. The transcript is spliced from 3 exons. The record is from RefSeq and is a predicted model, not a curated record. Lineage: Eukaryota; Metazoa; Arthropoda; Insecta; Lepidoptera; Pyralidae.